Molecule: long non-coding RNA, 2385 nt
Organism: Carassius gibelio (silver crucian carp)
Lineage: Eukaryota; Metazoa; Chordata; Actinopteri; Cypriniformes; Cyprinidae
Exons: 6
Source: RefSeq, a predicted model, not a curated record
AACGUCAAUCCUGCUCUUCUCUCAUUAAUAUUCACAAGAGUUCACGCACAGCUACUCUUUAUAACCAUUUUCUGCAUUUUACAAAAACAGUAGAGCCAUGAAAAUGUCAAAUGGCAUAAAUACAUUUAUGGAUUUAUAAAUCACAGAAGUACUGGGAUAAAAGUUUAUAGUUCAGAUAUGAACUCUGAUGUGUAUGGUAGUGAUUAAAAUAGAGUAGGACUAAAUCACCUUUUAAAAGUAAUUUGGGACGUCAAAUGAAGAUUUAUCGAUUACAUUGUAACACCAGAGAUUCAAGAGAUUCGUUCAAGUGAAACAAGUAUAUCUUGAGUGAGUCAUUGAAUCAUUAAUUCAUAAAUUACAUAUGAUUUUGUUUAGUUGUCUAAUGUUUUGUUUAAUUCAGAAUAGUGAGAGAACCACAACUUCCAUUGAAAAAAUACAAUAAAAUUAAUUUUAUCAGAAUCAUGUGCCUCUAUUUUGCGUGCAAACAGAUCUUAAAGAGUCGCGUUUUUAUGUAGCCUGAUGAAUUUUGUUCGUUGUAUUCAGUAGCAAUUAAAUAGUUUGCAAAAAGAGACAUAGGAUAAUGUUUGAUUUAAUUAUUUAAUCUUAUUGGAGUAGAAAAGAAUUGCAGUCAGAAUUGGAAUCAAUAAAAUUCAACCAUCCAUCUUUUGUUUUUGUUUUUAUUUACACUAGUCAACACUUGAACACUUGAAGUUUCAUCAAAGUUGUCUUAAAACCAAAACAAUACCCUUUCUUGUCUUAGUGUUUUGAGUUUACAUCUCCAAACUUAGAAUUCAGAGAAAAAAGUCAGAGCUGUGAGAUUUAAAUGCUAAAGCUAAGAAAUAGUCAGAAUUGCAAGAUUUUAACGCAAAACUAAGUAAAAAGUGACAAUUGUGAGAUUUAAACGCAAAACUAAGAAAAAAGUCAUACAGUCAGAAUUGCGUAGUGUGAAUGUAAAACUCAUAAAAGUCCGAAUUGCGAGGUGUGAACGUAAAACUCGGAAAAAGUCAGAAUUGCGAGGUGUGAACGUAAAACUCGGAAAAAGUCAGAAUUGCGAGGUGUGAACGUAAAACUCGGAAAAAGUCAGAAUUGCGAGGUGUGAACGUAAAACUCGGAAAAAGUCAGAAUUGCGAGGUGUGAACGUAAAACUCGGAAAAAGUUCGAAUUGCGAGGUGUGAACGUAAAACUCGGGAAAGUCAGAAUUGCGAGGUGUGAACGUAAAACUCGGAAAAAGUCAGAAUUGCGAGGUGUGAAUGUAAAACUCGGAAAAGUCAGAAUUGCGCGGUGUGAACGUUAAACUCUGAAAAAGUUCGAAUUGCGAGGUGUGAACGUAAAACUCGGAAAAAGUUCGAAUCGCGAGGUGUGAACGUAAAACUCGGAAAAGUCAGAAUUGCGCGGUGUGAACGUUAAACUCGGGAAAGUCAGAAUUGCGAGGUGUGAACGUAAAACUCGGAAGGAUUUUCUAGACAAGUAAAAACAAUUGUCUUGUUUUCAGAAAAAAAUUGUUUUUGUGUAGAACAAGCUAAAUAAUCUUAUUUAAAACAGAAAACAAAAACUGUGCAUCGGGUAAAGUCUAAGCAAUGAUUAGUAUUUAAUACUAUUGAUUAAAGCAUAAUUAUUUUACUCAUUACAGUAGAAUUAAGACCUUGCUCAGCCUUUACCAGAUGCACACAUACACACAAUAACCUGUCCUUCAGUUCAUUACUUAAGAUCAUCAUCAGACUGCAUUUACUAACAUUUCAGUCAUUUUCUUAAUUACUAAAUUCAGAAGAUGCUAAACUGUUAUCUGGUUUUAAAUUCACAAGGAUUUGAGGAGAGAAAAGCAUUUCUUCAGAAUUUCUUCUUUUUGACUGAGCUUUCUCUAAUAAAGAGCGUCCUCCAGCUCUAAAUGGUGGAAAAGUGUCAGGCGAGCUGCUUGACUCAUGCUUGAUUAACUCUGUGCUAAUUAGCGUUGGUGGAGAGCUCAGAAGAGCUGUAAUUUAUGUGCUAGCAGAGCCUCGGAGGAAUGGGGUGAAAUGUAAAUGCACUUGGCGCUGCGAUCACGAGAGAGAGAGCCAGAGCUGCGGCGGAGGCCAGGAGGACAAACCCUCGCAGCUGUUGCGCAAAAACCCCACAGAAAACCACACGACCUUGAGACAAACUGAAGGUGAAGAUGUCUGGGUUCAUGCCACAGAAAAGCAAUGAAAAUUACCUGAAGAGAGCAUUUGUCUUCAAAACACUACUUUAUUUAUUUUAUUUAGAAGUAAUUUUAAACAAAUUCCUGUUCUGUUAUAUUUCAUUGACUUUGGCCAAUUAGCUGGUAACUUUAUUUUUUGUUUAGACUAACAUUGUUUAUUAUUUUAUUUUGAUUUAUAAUUUAAUUUGAUUGGAUUUUAUGCAAUUAUUUUU